UACGAAGGGGGCUAGCGUUGCUCGGAAUCACUGGGCGUAAAGGGUGCGUAGGCGGGGCUUUAAGUCAGGGGUGAAAUCCUGGAGCUCAACUCCAGAACUGCCUUUGAUACUGAAGAUCUUGAGUUCGGGAGAGGUGAGUGGAACUGCGAGUGUAGAGGUGAAAUUCGUAGAUAUUGGGAAGAACACCAGUGGCGAAGGCGGCUCACUGGCCCGUAACUGACGCUGAGGUGCGAAAGCGUGGGGAGCAAACAGG
Molecule: ribosomal RNA, 253 nt
Filed under: uncultured bacterium
Lineage: Bacteria
Description: partial 16S ribosomal RNA
Rfam family: Bacterial small subunit ribosomal RNA
Source: RNAcentral